This 179-nucleotide non-coding RNA is filed under the name Apilactobacillus ozensis. RNAcentral describes it as "Lactobacillus ozensis Lysine sequence". It matches the Rfam family "Lysine riboswitch aptamer". From Rfam's summary of the family: Riboswitches are metabolite binding domains within certain messenger RNAs that serve as precision sensors for their corresponding targets. Allosteric rearrangement of mRNA structure is mediated by ligand binding, and this results in modulation of gene expression. RNAcentral also lists the same sequence under 1 other name. The record is from RNAcentral. Lineage: Bacteria; Bacillati; Bacillota; Bacilli; Lactobacillales; Lactobacillaceae.
AAUCUAAGAAGAGGCGCAAAAGACAUUAGUAGUAGGUGCUAGCUAAUAAAGUAGCGAUGAACAUCUAUGAAAGGGGAUUUUGCCGAAAUUAUAAUAUGCUUUAUCAUAUUAUUUUUGGGUCUUAGUUUAAUAGACUAAGAACUGUCGUAGCAAAUAGGCUACGGAGUGCUUUCUAAGAU